UACCGGAUACUGACCUGCCGAGGCUCUCGGCGGGUCGAAGCUCCGGCGGUGCAGGAUGAGCCCGCGGCCUAUCAGCUUGUUGGUGAGGUAAUGGCUCACCAAGGCGACGACGGGUAGCCGGCCUGAGAGGGCGACCGGGCACACUGGAGUGGACACCCGGCUAGGACUCCUACGGGAGGCAGCAGUGGGGAAUAUUGCACAAUGGGCGCAAGCCUGAUGCAGCGACGCCGCGUGAGGGAUGACGGCCCUUCGGGGUUGUAACCUCUUUCAGCAGGGAAGAAGCGAGAGUGACGGUACCUGCAGAAGAAGCGCCGGCUAACUACGUGCCAGCAGCCGCGGUAAUACGUAGGGCGCAAGCGUUGUCCGGAAUUAUUGGGCGUAAAGAGCUCGUAGCGGCUUGUCGCGUCGGUUGUGAAAGCCCGGGGCUAACCCCGGGUCUGCAGUCGAUACGGGCAGGCUAGAGUUCGGUAGGGAGAUCGGAAUCCUGGUGUAGCGGUGAAAUGCGCAGAUAUCAGGAGGAACACCGGUGGCGAAGGCGGAUCUCUGGGCCGAUACUGACGCUGAGGAGCGAAAGCGUGGGGAGCGAACAGGAUUAGAUACCCUGGUAGUCCACGCCGUAAACGGUGGGCACUAGGUGUGGGCAACAUUCCACGUUGUCCGUGCCGCAGCUAACGCAUUAAGUGCCCCGCCUGGGGAGUACGGCCGCAAGGCUAAAACUCAUAGGAAUUGACGGGGGCCCGCACAAGCGGCGGAGCAUGUGGCUUAAUUCGACGCAACGCGAAGAACCUUACCAAGGCUUGACAUACACCGGAAAGCAUCAGAGAUGGUGCCCCCCUUGUGGUCGGUGUACAGGUGGUGCAUGGCUGUCGUCAGCUCGUGUCGUGAGAUGUUGGGUUAAGUCCCGCAACGAGCGCAACCCUUGUCCCGUGUUGCCAGCAACUCUUCGGAGGUUGGGGACUCACGGGAGACCGCCGGGGUCAACUCGGAGGAAGGUGGGGACGACGUCAAGUCAUCAUGCCCCUUAUGUCUUGGGCUACACACGUGCUUCCAUGGCCGGUACAAUGAGCUGCGAUACCGCAAGGUGGAGCGAAUCUCAAAAAGCCGGUCUCAGUUCGGAUUGGGGUCUGCAACUCGACCCCAUGAAGUCGGAGUCGCUAGUAAUCGCAGAUCAGCACUGCUGCGGUGAAUACGUUCCCGGGCCUUGUACACACCGCCCGUCACGUCACGAAAGUCGGUAACACCCGAAGCGGUGGCCCAACCCCUGUGGGAGGGAGCUGUCGAAGGUGGACUGGCGAGUGGACGAAGUCGAAGCAUUGAGUUGGCAAGG
This 1327-nucleotide ribosomal RNA is filed under the name Streptomyces diastaticus. RNAcentral describes it as "bacterial SSU rRNA". It matches the Rfam family "Bacterial small subunit ribosomal RNA", at positions 167 to 1507 of the family's 1533-position model. The record is from RNAcentral. Lineage: Bacteria; Bacillati; Actinomycetota; Actinomycetes; Kitasatosporales; Streptomycetaceae.